Long non-coding RNA from Gallus gallus (chicken), 15743 nucleotides. The record is from Ensembl. NCBI's taxonomy places the organism in Eukaryota, Metazoa, Chordata, Aves, Galliformes, Phasianidae.
UAGACAUUUACAUGCUGAGAUAUCCCGGACCGAUGGAGUGUCCCCAUCUUGCUGUGGCCCUCCCUGCCACCUUCACCACAACAGCAGAUGCCUGCAGGUGCUCCAGCUGCAAGGUUUCCGUGGCGCUGCAGCCGCGACCUUGGGUCUUUAUUGGCUCUCCGAAUGGACCCUUUAUAGACUCCAGAUGGAAAGUAUAAAAUUAAUAACCCCUGGCUGGCAAACACCCAUAUGUUUUCCACCUUCUCCUGAGAUACAAUUUGUUUAUGGUGACAUUUAUUUAAUGCAAAUUAACAUAUAAAUGAAGAUGCAUGGCUCUUCCCAGAGACCUGAGGAAACUGGUUUGUGUGGUGCUAGAGGUGCACGGCCACAUCAACCACCCACCAGAAAGGCUCCUUUGGAAUUACCUGGAGCCUUUUUGAUUCUCUCCAGCCAGGAGGAAUUCCACCAGCCUCCCUCCAGGCCCAUUUUCUUUAACAAUAUAUUCCAGGCUGACCCUGGAGGUGCUAAUUGCUCUUUAUCUAAGACAACUGUUUCUCCCACCCCACCAGUGCUUUUGGUGGUCGAAGGAAUACAAUGCAUUAUCAGGAAACGAGAUACAUGUGUACAAAGGGUAUUGACUGGCGGGAGGUUAAAGAUACAGCACAAAGAGAGGCAGCCUUACAGGGGUACCCUGUUAACUAGUGAUGGAUGAGCCACUGGAAGAAGAAAGCUCUCCAAGGUUGGGCUGAUAAGACCCCAGCCACUUGGUGCCUCCCCAAGGUGCCACGACCAGGACCAACCUCUACACCUAUCCCUGGCUCCGGCCUCCUUCUCCUCCUUUUCUUCCUCCUCCUCCCAGCAGACAACCCAGGACAGGCCAAACUUGGCACGGAAAACCCUUCCACAAAGCCACCCCUGCGUCCCGUUUGUCCGCCAACGACCUUAGUUAAACCGGCGCAAGUUUCUUAAUUCCACGCCAGCCUAAGCCUUUAAAAACUGUUGACUUUCCAGAAAAGCAGGAAGUGGGUAAACACAGCGAUUGGCUGCUCUUCCUGCUGACCACAUGUCACCAGAAUGCAGGGGAAAAAAAAAAAUUCUAUUAGGCUUUUAUUUAACAUGAAUUUGAAUGUAUUCCAGGUCACUGAUCACAUAAGCGAUCACGAUACGGGUAAUAAAGAAGUUCCUACCAUACCUUUAUUUGCUUUCUCCCUGUAAUAAAUCUUUAUCACACACUGGGCUGAUUGCAACAGUAUCACUUCCUUUUUUUUUUUAUUUUUUUUUUCCCUCCUGUUUUAUAGGGCAGCAAAAAGCCAACUGGGCCCAUCUGCAAGCACACCCAAUGGCGCUGGGAUGGGAUGGCAAACAAAAGGCAGCCAGGGCAGCCACACUGCUGCCUUGAAGAACCAAGGGUUGACUUCCCUGGGUGCAGACCCCAACCUUCACAUGCUGCAAAACCCCAUGCAUGAUCCUUUGUGACUGCAGGAAAAGGGGGAAUCGUAGCGUGGCACUGAGGGACGUGGUUAGUUGGAUAGUGGGUGCAGUGUGGACGGGUUGAUGGUUGGACUUGGGGAUCCUUGUGGUCUUUUCCAACCUGCGUGAUUCCAUGACUGUGUCAUAGUAGGAAAUAUCAACCUGUGUGCUUUCUUAGUAAGUGAUCAUUAAGACGGUUUAAUAAACGAUCCAAGUGACAGCCCUAUGCUAGAACAGCCUCGAAUCAAACCAUUCUGCACAGGGAAGAAUUUUUGCUCCCUGUAAACCAAAAGUAAUGGGUCAAAGGGAAAUGAAUCCUGAGCAGUUCCCUGCACUUCUGAGCAUUUGGUGUUCUGGACCCCAUUCUCCCUCGUACCCUCAUGCUUAAUCCUCCUCAUUUGAAUGAUUUGCAUCCAAAUCUCUCCAUUUUUGUCCUUUCAUUCUCGAGCACACGAUGUUAGUUCCCGCUAAUACAAGGGCAUCAAUCGCCUUCAUCUUCUCCUAUUUAAUGAUAUUUAUUCAUCAUCGCAUGGGAGAGAAAUUGGCUGCAGCUCAAUUUGGCAAAAUAAAUUGGGACCAGUUCAAGCGUAAUCUCGCUAAACACACAGAUUUUAAUCCCCCCCCCCAAGUGAAGCACACUGCAUCUGCAAUGGAUGUCCUUGGUUCAAGAUCCAGAUGCUGAUUUCAAACUCCAGAAUCUCCCACUGCUUGCAGAGCUCACUUUGUGAGGACCAGGGACUACGUAAAUUCAGAACAGCUCCAGCACAGCUUUGCUCCUGUUGUCCUUAAUUGCUUGAAUACUGAGCAGGUUGAUAUUGUGAUUAUUUGUAGACAUUUAUACCAUCCCAGGCCUUCUUCUUUAUAACUUUAUUUCAUUUUCUGCUGUUUACUCACAACUACCUUUAUCACCGCACGCUGAUAGUCUGUUCUUUAUUGCCCCGGUGUGAUUGCAAGGAGUUUGAGCACAACCCAAUAACACACAUAUAUAAAUAUUUGAACAGGAAAAGAAAGUCUGUCUCAUUCAGGCUAUGGAAGGAGGGAAAAAUGAAAACAAAUAAUACCGCUAGAGGGACCUUCACACUGAACCACGGUGGAGGAGAGGUCACACACAGCCUCCACGAGUGGCACCGAUGGGACCCGCGGUGUCGGCAUGGAGCUUGCAAGCAGCAGCACCGCAUGCAUGCAGGGCUCGUUGUUUGCCGAGGAUCACCCGAAUAAUUCCACUUGAGCACAACAAACGUGUUUUGUUUUUGCAGUUAAAGAGCUGAGUCCUUUUAAUUAGUUGACUCGGGCCUUUCUGCAUGCGGUCCCCACGCACUGUGGCUGGUUCAAAGAGGAGCCUCUCUGUGUGUUUUCGCUUUUCUUCUCUUUUCUUUCUCCCCUUUAACACUGCGUGUGAAUAGUUGAAGACGGGAGCGAAAGACAUUGGACUUAGAAAGUAAAAUCUCCAGGAAGCAAAAAUGGAGGCAAACACAGGAGCUAAUUUAGGCAGGCAUAGCUGGUGUUGUUUGUGGUUGUCCCUGACAGCGCUGCUGACUCUAAAGCACCUGUGUUUGCUCACUAGCUUUCCCCAAUCUGCUAGAAAAUGGCCCUAGCAUGUCACAUGGCAGCGAGAUAGUCCGAGCGCCAUGGGAAUAAAAAAGCCUGAGCUUUUAACGGAGUUAAUCAUUAAUGCGCCUUUUCUUUGUCCCAUUCAGGAGUGCUGACAAGCGCUUUGAUAUUUCAUAUUUGCCAUCAGGUCAGCGGCAGUCAUACCCAGGUACUAAUGAGCGCCCUGGCUCACGCCUCCCUGUUUCAUGGCCCGCCUGAAGAUUUCGUCCCACUUGCCCUCAACCACAGCUACACGCAUAUAUAUCCCUGUCUAUAUGUGUGUGCAUGUCCCUGCUUCCAUGUCUGAAUGCAUCCCUGCAUAUAUGCACAUAGGCAUCCCUGUGUGCACACCCGAGCAACACCCAUGGGUGCAGCGCAUGCUCAGGAGAUCCCAGUUCAGGCACUUUUAUCCCCUCCUGUAGACAAAACCCAGGGCUCCCAGCUCCAGAUCCAAGCCCUGUGCUCCAUAUUGGGCAUCUCAAUGCAAUGCUUUGUAUCCACGAGCAGCUGUCAAUGCGUGCGCGCACUUCGGGGUUGAGCAAAUAAUCCCCAGUGAAUAAUGUAUGUGCGGGGAGGAAUGCAGGCUGCACUACUCGCCCCCAGUCCUGGCUGCCAGCAGCGUGUUUUCUGCAUCGUGCUUCUUCUCCCAGUUUGUUUGCCCUGAUGCACCCAGGUUUCCCUGUUCAUUGCAGGGGAAUUAGACUAGGUGACCUUUGAAGGUUUCUUCCAACUCCAACAAUUCUAUGAUUCUUUGGUUCUAUGGUUCUGAUUCCAUGAUUCUAUGGGUCUGUGAGCCUAUGGUUCUACGAUUCCAUGAUUCUAUGAUUCUACGGUUCUAUGAUUCUAUGAUUCUAGGGGUCUAUGAAUCCAUGAUUCUAGGGGUCUAUGAUUCUGUGGGUCUAUGAUUCUGUGGAUCUAUGAUUCCAUGAUUCCAGGGGUCUAUGUUACUAUGAUCCUAUGAUGCCACGAUUCUAUGAUUCUAUGUGUCCAUGGUUCUAUGACUCUAGAUGCACUGCUUGGGAACCAGUUGUAUGAAGGCAUGAUUACAAAGGAGACUGAGAAUGCUCGUCCUCCCUAAGAGCAGCAAGGCACUGCUAUUCUGUUGUCUGGCUUGGCCAAUAAAUGCAGUUGUUUGUGCCAGCACUGAGUAGAAAAACCUAUCCCUCAGCGUAAAGGCCAGGCAGGUCAGCAGGCCUCCAUAAAGCUGCUGUGCAAAGAUGAUUUGUGCUGGCUUCAACGAGAAUCACAGUCAAACUUCAAGGUGCUUGAACCUUUCCCUUGACUCGGGCAGAGACUGACAGCACAUUUCACUCCUCCUCGCCGGGGUUGGAUGCUGACAGAAUUGCAUCAGUGAGCUCACCGAGGGGACCUCCUGUCUGUGUUCAUGUAGUGUGGGGAGGAAAACAUGGCUGGAGCUGCCGAUGCUGCCAGCACAGCAGGGAGGUGCAGCCAGGCAUCGCAGAAGGUUGCACAAACCUGGGCUUCCUUCAGCAUCCCUCUGGGUUGGAAGUGUGUGCAGCGUGAAAUUAAUGAGCUAUUCAUAGAACCAUCAUAGAGUCAUAGAAUCAUGAAGGUGGAAAAGAUAACCGAGUCCAACCACAGCUCACCCCCACCGUGCCCACUGACCACGUCCUGCAGUGCCACAUCCCCACAGCUUUGGGAUGCCUCCAGGGACGGUGACCCCACCACUCCCUGGGCAGCUGUGCCACUGCCUCACCGCUCUUUCAGGAAAUAAACUGUUCCUAUCAGCCAACCUGAAUUCAGCCCUAAGCUUUUCAGUCUCCUUUUGCUGAGAUAUGGUGACUGAGCCACUUGGCUCCAUACUCCUCUUAGAUUAAAGAGGGAACUGCCAAAAAUGUCACAGAUUUCAGAGGCCGGCUAGUGGUGACUCACCCAGAUAACGCUCUCAAGGACGUAUAGGGAGCCCGGAACCGUAGUAUCAUGCGACAGAGCCACAUCUGGAGAAAUGGCCAAGGUCACCCCACCACUGGCUCGGGCCCCCACAGUGCCAGGUGAGGAAAAUCCUGCUCCGUAAAACUCACACUGGACAGAGAGGCAGAAGGGGAAGCGGGAGAAGGUUCGACCCCGGUUUGCACACAGAGAUAGGCCAGGAUUAGUCCCUUUAGUCUCUUUUAGCUCAUGCUGGCCACAAAGCUCUAAUCUAAGAGGAGAACUCCUGAGGCUGUGAUUGGACCUGGAAGUCAAUUUGCUGCGAGCAUCCUAUGCAGAGUUGAAGCCAGCCAAAAAGGAAGCCUUCCUGGAAAAAUAACAAAGGUACUUUCAGCCACAGAAAUCCCCAUCUCGAAUCCAAACAGGGAAGCCUCUGUCUGCUGCCAGUGUAGGCAGGGUUUCCGACUGCCUGUUAUUGGACAUAGCAGAAGAGUUAGCUUAGGCAGAGGAAGGGGAAGGGGCCGCUUCUCCCUUGCUGGGGUGGAAAUCCUCUUCUUUCUGGGUGCCCUCUGCGAGCUCAAGUCCUGCACGUCCCAGUGCCCGUGGUCUGCACAGAGGCAGCUGGCUGCCAAGCAGAGCCAGGACACGCCAUGCAGACACCGCCCGGAAUGUGUGGCAUGGAAAAGCCUUGUCAGAGCUUUGGCUCGGGGAAUCAGCAGGCUGCCUGCCUGCACUGCCCUGCUGCAGCCUCACGGUGCCUGGAUGCAUGCACUGUGCUUUGCAGUGGCUUUUCCAGGGCAUGGAGCAGGGAAAUUGGCGAGGACAAGGUGUGAGGAGAAGCAGUCCCGCGUCCCACACCACCCUGUGCCGACCCCCAUGUCCCUCCUUACCCCUAGAAUGCUCACGGUGCAUAAAGAUGGGAGAGACUUGAUUCCCAGGACUGCCCUAUGUUCUUCUGUGGGUGCUCGGCCGUGUCCCUCACCCCACAGUGCAGGCUGGCUCCUGCUGCACAAACACAGCCGAGCAAGAUAAGCGCUGUGUGCACAGCACUCAGCCAGGAAUUCAGGGCCUGCGCUGGCCCCAGCUGCCAUCCUGAUGGCAAACCACACCAGGUUCCCCCCCUGCACCCCUCUGUGCCAUGGGGGCAGCUUCUCAACCUGCUUUGCUUGGACACCGUGGGGAUGCUGCAGCAGGGAUGCUGCCAGGGCACAUGCAGACGCUGCACAUAGAUGUGCAGGGAUGCUGCAGGAGGGAUGCUUCAUCUGGGAUGCAAAAGGAUGUUGCAGCAGGGAUUUGCAGAGGUGCUGCAGCAGGGACGCACAGAGAUGUGCAGAGUUGCACACGGAUUCUGUGGUAGAGGUGUGCAGGGAUGCACAGGGAUUCACAGGGAUGCUGCAGUAGGGAUGUGCAGGGAUGCAAAGGGAUGCACUGCUGCAGGGGAGUGCACGAAUUUGUGGGGAUGCUGCAACAGGGUUGCACUGGGAUGCUGCAGCACGGAUGCACAGAGAUGCACAGGGAUUCACAGGGACACUGUAGUAGGGAUGUGCAGGGAUGCACAGGGAUUCUCGGGGAUGCUGUAAUAGGGAUGUGUAGAGACGCACUGCAGCAGGGAUGCUGCAGCAGAAGGGCACAGGGAUGCUACACCAAGCCACUGUCCUUGGUGAUGCGAGGCAUGCUGGAUAUGGAAAGUAUGUCCUCCCAAAAAGAGCGUGAGGCCUGUGGCAAGAGAUCUGCCAGGAUGUGUUUGCACUGUGACAUGGGUGCAUGUAGCAAGGAUGAGUCAUGGUGGCAGUGGAGCUUGGCAAACACGGAGCCCAGCUUGCCCAGCAGGGGCAGAAAUACCUCCUCUCCACCCCAGCAGAGGACUCGUGGUAAUAAAAGCAGGUUUUAAAAUUAAUAUAGUGAUACCUCGGAGAUUAAUCUUGCUGAUAAGCAGACAGCAGCAGGACUGAAUAGGCCCGUGGUUCAAACAAAGGUUUCUGUUGAGUAGGAACAGGUAAAAGACGGAUGGUUUGUUAAACAUUGCCAGCAUACUUUGCUAGUGCCAUUCACCGGUCACAGCUAAUGGUAACAGGGGCAUUGUGCAGCAGAUGCAUUUGCUAAUUUCGGCCAACUUAAACGCUAUUCCUUAUCUUUGUUGGUCUUGCUGAGAUUAAGGCGGUUUCAGUAUGCUGAAUGCACUACACUCCUGCAUGAAAAACAUUCCUGACAGUCUCAAGGAGUAAAAAAACACUGGCUGUCAGCGAGCAGAGCAGGGCCGGGAGGUCUGCUGACACAGGGCUGGGUCCAAGGCCCACUCCAGCUCUGCGUUGGGCAAUGCAGACUUCGUCCCAGCUUUGUGCUAAAGGCAGAUAAGCUGCCGCACAGUCUGGGCUCAGCACCCAGCAGUAUGUUGGCAUGUGAUGGGUGUUGGACACAGUGUGUGCCAUGCUGCUGCAGAGCCCAUUUGCUGGCUGGGCAGCCUGGUGUCACCGGGUGUCUGCCUCCACACAGCCCUCCCUUCCUAACCCUUGAACUCCUCGCCCGUUUCAAUCAGCUUUGCCAAGACAAUAGGCGUCUCGGAGCUCAUUAAGUGCUUAGGGGGGGUUUGUGGACAUAGGCAUCUGUGCAAAGGGCAGGGGCUGGUGGGGGGGGGGGGGGCUGCGGGUAGGAUCACCCCACCUGGGGAUCCUCCACAGAACAAAACCCGGGCAAGAAGCCACUUCCUUCCCCCAAAUCCUAGCUCCAGCCCAAUGGACAGCUGCAGGAUCCUCCCUUGCCCAUGCCCAUUGCAUCCUCUCUCCCUUCCCCAUCCCACUCCAUCCUCCUUGGGUAGCCAGGAUAGCUAAGGGGAAUACCUAAUAGCAUUAUAACCCAUUUUAUUAUUCUCAUUGGUAUUUUAACAGCGCUGAGUCACACGGGGGGAUUAGGACAGCUCCGAGAAGAUGCAAUACCCUGCAGGGACCGGCAGGGCUCUGCAGCUCCGAGUGGGGCCGGGAGCCAGAGAAACUCUGGGUUAACGUGGGGCCCUGACCCUACCCCCCACCUUAACCCUCAACUUCACAUGAGCUCAGCACGGGCAUCCUGCACGCAUGGCAUGGAGGCAGCCAGCUGUCUGAAAACCUCAAGAGAAGGUUUCUUUCUUCCCCAGAGUGGAUGUUGGUGAUAUGAUUAUUAUUACUAUUAUUACUAUUAGGUAUUGAACCCUCUGCCCAGAAAAGCCAGGCACUACUGCAGCCUGAACCCAACGCAGCGCCGUGCUGGCACCAUAUCCCUGCCAGUGGCGUUAUGUUCCCUUUGACAAAAAUGAACCAGGAGAAUUCCCUUGCCAAAUAUUGUUCUGGUAACCGUAACUCUGAGUCUUGCCAGGUUACAGAGCUCCUGUUAUGGAGCUCCUCCAGGCUGCAGCCAGUGCUAUUGUUAUUGUGAAGCACCUCUGCGCUGUUCAGGCUUUGAAGUAGGUGAGGCGGUCUCCGCUCUUUCCUCUUUUUUUUUUUUUUUCUUUUUUCCCUUUUUCCCCCAAGCCUCAGCUCUAUGAUUUAGGCUGGAAGCAGAUUGUUCAAGAGCGCCAGGGGAAAUCUGGCAGGCGCUGACCGACCCCGCAAGAAUUUAUUACCAACCCUUUUAGCUGCCGCCUCUGCCUUUGUUACCCAGCCCUUGGCAGGGGGGGUCCAUCCAUCUGCAGCGUCCAACACUGCAUUCACUGCUCACCAGGUGAGCUCCCGGGACAACCAUCCCUCACCAUCCCACUCCAGGACAUCCUCUGGGACUGUUAUCCAAAUGAACCGGCGAGGAUUUAAAAUGCCACCUGAGUUAAAAGGACCUGAUUAAAACUGUACCCUCAUCACACUUCUUAAACAGCCGGUUGCAUUGCCGUAUUUACAUUAGUGUCAACUUUAAUUUAAAUCCCGCAUAACGAUAUUUGCUCCCCUAAAUUCAUUCGCCGGGAGCGCGGCACAAAUUACUCGGAGCUGACUGCACUUUCCCUUUGUCUGCGUCGCAGCGUUUUGGAAAUGAAGGCUGAGCACCUCGUUAGGGUCUCAUUAAGCAGCCCAAUGCCGGGCGCUGGGCUGGAGAUUGGGGCUGGAUUGGGGCGUUGCGGUGUCGGCCAGGUGCUGGCAUGGCAGGGACACGUGGGGUCAGCUCUGCAGACAAUGGGAGCCCUCCUGCUCUCCUGACCACCCAGUAGGGGAGAAGGGGGAAAAGAGACAAAAAAAAAAGCCCACAAUGAAAUACCCGGAGGUUUCUCAGGUUUUUGUGACAGCAGUGUUUAAACUCGGUGCUUCCUGCAGGUGUGCUCUUUGACGACGAGUGCUCCGUGUGAUCUCAGCCAGGCAGGCGUUUUCUUUAGUCCUCGGCGCUUUGCCUUUUCACCUCGUCAAACCCUUUCAAGCUAAACAAACCUUGUUCCAGCCUUGCUCACCGAAUCCCAGCCUGGGGCGGCACGAAGCGGUGUAGCAUCACGGUUGGAGCUGGCGUUUGGGUCGGAGCAGCAUAGCACCACCUGGGCAAUGGGCAACGGAGGCAGGAAGGGGGCAAGGGGAGGGCAGGGGUCAGCAGCCUGGCUGUGGGGAGGUGGCACUGAAUGCGGGGGUUGCUGGAUGUGCCGCUGCCCGGUGUCACCUUGUCCUCGAGCUCCGCAGGGACGCGGCUCCGCGCGGCACCAGAUUUGCGUGGCUAAGUCGACGGCCGUGCAGCUGUGCUCUUAUCUGGUCAGAGGAAGAGGAUGAACAACAAAAGGGCCUAAGAAGCCCGGUUGAUGCAUGGGAAAGCCAUUGGUUGAGCAUUGUGGCUGCCCUUCUGCUGAGCAAAUAGUUCAAACUGUUCAUUCCCAUCUUCUAUUCUCUCUCCGGUACAUUGUUUGUGUCCUUGCAUUUCAUUCUGCAAGGAAGAUUGCUCUCUGGGCCUAUAAGCAAACAGUCCAGAAAAGAGCCAACUAUCCUCUCCUUUUCCCUGGAGAACUAGCAUUUUUAUUUCAGCUCCAAGCUGUCAAAGAGCUGGAGAGUUUAUGUCAGUAUCCUGAAUUAAUUGCUUUAAGCUGGAGCAGCCUAGAUGAGCCACCAAAUGUCCAGAAGAUGUUUAUUAAUAACGUUUCCUGCCGGUUUUGUUCCGAGCUGCGCUCUCCCGUCCAGUGCCCUCCAUUCACUGCCUUGGGGUGGCGAAGCCAAAGCUGCUUACGGGGAAUUAGAGCCCGCUGCCAGGCUUUGUCACCAUCCCCGUGCCCAGCGCCGGGAGCUCUGGUUGGGGUGGUUUGAUGCUGGGAGCAGGAGGAGGAGGGAGACGGAUUGCUGCUGGUGGGGCCCUUGUUUAAACACAAAUAUCUUCGGUAAUUAGCAAAAGUGGCGAGGAAAUUACCGAUGGAAAGAGAGAAACCACACGGAAGGUAAAUGGUUCUGUGUUUAAACAUGAUAUAUUUUAAAGUGUUCCCCAGCGUGAAAGUCGCUGUUUAAGGGAAUGAAGUAAUAAACCAAUUUAUAUACCAAUAGAAAGUGGAGAUCCUGAGUGCCUUUGUGUAAAUUUUCCACUUGACUUUUCAUUAUCUACCUGAACAAAAUCAAUCUAUAUGUAUGGGAUCAACGCGCAAUAUGAGAGAUAAAAGACGAAAUAAAUGCGCUUUGCAUAUCCCGCGGAUAAAAGCCACGGGGCUCCAGCCUCCCUGCCAGGCAGAUGCAUUUUAUAAAAUAAAUCAUUUUGCCGAGGAAAAAGAGAGCAGAGAGGAGCAUUACUUCUUAAGUGUUUACUCCCUAGCUUGAAAUAUCGAUCCUGUCAAACGAACGGUGGUUAAUAAGUAACUCGGGGGAAAUGUGCUGCUCCGUGCAGCACAGCGCUGCCGCGGCAGGGGAUGCGCUGGGGCCGCUACCUGGGGCAGCACAAAAAGCAGAGCUAGAGGCAGAAAGAAGCGAGCAGGAUGCCUCUCCCUCGGCCCCCUGCCUGGAGAUGGGCUUUGGGGUAGAGCAGCCCUCCCAGCCUCGGGGAUCCCUCUCUUUUCUCCCUUCAGGGCUAGGUGAACAGGCAGGAUCCCCUUGUGAGUUUUUUCCCUCGCUAGCAGGAUACAGGAAAGCUUAAGAGGCACUUUAGAAGCCGCAGCCCCACCUGGGCACGGCGGAUUCCUAUUCCCCAUGAAACUCCAGCCCUGGUGUAUUCCUGCCCCCAAGGACCCAGAUCCGGCCCCAUGCAGGGCAGCGCCUGCCUCCUCCAGCAUCGCUACUGCCGUACCCACACCAUUCGGCCACGAGGGAUCUGGUGGGGUCAGCGGGGUAUGGGUAUGGCAUUGGUGUUUGCCAAUUGCCAGAGCCACCUCUGUGCUGGCACUGCUGUGACUGGCACAAAUACUUCUAUUUUCCGAGAGAAACAGUAAGGCCACAGAGCUCCAUCCACUGCAAUAUAAAGAAAAUAAAUCAACUUGAAAAAAUUGAUUUGAGGAAGCUCCCGCUUUGUUUCCUGUUUCUAUUUUUUCUUCUUUUCUCCUAAAAUUCCAGGCAGGAGGGAAGAAGUGGGGCAGAGAGUGGGCACAAAGAGAAACACAGGGAUGAGCUGAUUGCUUCCCAAAGCCAAGAGUUAGCAGGGAUGCUCCUGAGGAACGUGCCUGCUGUUGGCUCAACAUCUGCAGCCAGUUUAUUAGUUUGCUAAUGACGCCUCAGAUUGGACCCGGAGGGAACAGAAAGUCCUGGCAACCUCUUGCAGUAUCAGCCUCACCUUCUGCCCCGUCCCACUGCCACCCUGAAGCAGAGCUGCUGCUUUCAGCCCCCCAUCUCCAGUCUGUAAUUUUGCAGUAGUGCAGAGCAACAGCAAAGGGAGGGAUGUGCUGGAGGACCAGAGCGCCGUAGCAUGGCUCAGUGCUGGAUGGCAAUUGCUGGGGUCCUGCAGGGUGGGAUGAGUGUUCACCCUUAGGAUGGCACGGAUGUGCAUCCCUCAGAAAGCUCCACAAAUUCAUUCAUUCUUCAGCUUUCCCGGAGUGUUUUAACGAUUUAUUUUUUCCUAAAAGGAUCCAUCCCGGAGAAGCAUCUUCUCAAAUAUCCUCGAGGCAGAGAUAGCACUUCUGUCCGCUCCCGAGUCUACUGAAGCGUAACGCAGGUAUUGCACACAAGUACAGACACAAAGAGGCAAUCAGAGAUGGGGAUCUGGGGUUUCAUAGGGGAUGCACACACGGCAGCAGCACGCUCAGCACAGCUCAGAGGUUGGCCCCAUCCGUCCUUGACACUGAUCCCCCGUGCUGUUAUUAAAAUAAAGAAAGGGCAGUGAAGGUGAGUGCAAGUGCACACACCACCGGCUGCUUCCCCACCGUGCAGAGGGCUGCAAAUCAUCUCAGGGUCCCCAAUCUCCUUCAGCGUUGCUGCUGUCGGUGGUGGGGUGGGAAGGGAAAUCCCUGCUGGGCACUAGGGUGGGAAGGGGAAUCACUGCUGGGCACUGCAGUAGCUAUCUGCUUUCUGCUUUCCAGCCAGGCAAGGGAGAGCCUCGAUCUCUGUAUUGCUUGUGCAACGGUGUGAGUUUAAAACCUGUCGGAACAUGGUCCUGCCCCAGCUGUUCUUGCACUGACCGUGCAGGCAGAUGGCUGGCAGCAGCAAAGCUCCGGCUGCAGAAAUCCGUAAGGUAAAUCGCACGUCGAGGGCUUUCUUGCCGCCUGCUUUGCAAAGAGCAGGGCCCGUUCGGGUGAAAGCAGGAAGGCGUUCUGAACUCCCGGCCCUGGCAAGUGGGAGCUGAGCCGGUGUCCCCCCCCCCGCCCUCGCCCAUCCCCGGGGCUACCUGCAAGUUGCCGGCCUCGCCCGGCUGCUCCGCCCGGUCCCUGCCCUGUCCGGCACGGGGGGAGGUCAGAGCUGGGGGUGGAAGGGUAAAAAAUGGGGAGGGAAAAAGGGGAGGGAGAAGAGGGGAAAGGGGAAAAAGUUGGGGGGAAGGGGGGAAAAUAAAGAAUAAAUAGGAAAGGAGUGAGAAAUGGAAGGAAUGGAGGAAAAAAAGGGGGGGAGGGGAAAGGAAAGAGGGAAUGAAAGGAAAAGCGUGGCGAAGAAAUGGAGGAAAAAAGGAGAGAGAAAGAAAGGAAAAGAAAAUGAAAGAAAGGAAAAUAAAGGGGAGAAAAGAGGGGAGGGGCAAGGAAGAAAUAAAAGAACAACAGAUGAUAAGAGAGACAGAAAAGGAAAGCAUGAAAAAGAAAAGGGAAAAGCAUUCCCAGUGACAGAAGCGCUGCCCGCCCCGUUCGCUGCCCCGCGCUGCCCCAGGCGGGCAGCAGCCCCCGGCCCACACUCCUGCCUCGGGCACGCGUGGGAGAGCGGCCAGCCGGGCUGGGGCGGCGCGGGACCUCCAGGACCCCCCCCCACCGUCUCAUAUAUAUAACUUUGUUGUUGUUGUUGUUAAUUCAAUUUCACACCCAGCUGCACCUGCAAACGUAACACCCACCCCUCGUUCCAAUCCUCCAUCCAUCCUUCCGUCCUUCCGUCCACCUCUCCAUCCAUCCACCACCCCGGAGCCGCACCCCACGCUGGCCGCGGUUCUUCUCCAUCCUCCCGUCCCGAUUCGCAUCCCUGCGCCUGCCGCCCUUUCACUUAGGGCCGGGUUCUGUGCCUCUCUGGGCGUCGCGUCCCCCCUUGGUUCUCCAUAUCCCCCACCCUGGGGGGAAACCACCCCAUUCUCCUGGCCCUCCCCGUCUCAGAACCGUCGCAGUUUCCACGCGUUGCGAUUUAAUAGGAAAUAAACAUCAAACCCAUCGGCCCGGCCGGGGCUGCGGGAAAACUCGGGGCACUCUAUUUUAUUAUUUUUUCUUGCUUAUUUUUAUCCUUCCCCCAUUAAAAAGAAAUAGGGAAGAGAUUCCUCUCGCCCAGAGCCACCCCCCCUCCCCCGGGUUCCGUCAGAGAGGGGAAAUAUUUCGCUGAGAGACGACCGCAGCGAGAGAGCAAAAAAAUAAACCCCAAUCCGCUCCCGCCGACACCCAAAGCCCCGUUUUUAGCUGUCCCGUAAAUAAGGAGCCGGCAGACUCUGCAUCAUCCUUCGCUAUUUACUCUUUUGAAGGUUAGGCAGGGCAGAGGUAACAAACUUUUGAACGAUUUUCCUCCUCCCCUUUUCCAUCCUCUUCCCUACCUGGUUUUAUGUGGUUUCUGGAUUAAUCUAGUGUGGAGCAGAAGCGGACUUUCCCCGGCCGAAAUAUAGGAUUAGGACUAUUUCUAGAAGAAAGAGGAUAGUGUCAACUGCCUUUAGCCUGCAAUAGUCUAAAGCAGAAUUACAGCUUGUAAAAUAGGUCUCCAUCAGUUUCCCAGGAGACGAGUUAAGCCCUACUUGGGUGUUCCAGCUCUUUUUAGAACCAGCAAUAAUUAGACUCAUCUCACCCUGAGCUGUCCGGUUUUUUUAGGAUCCCCACCGACCGCUUUUGCAUACAAUCCUGCCGGGGCCGCCUGCCCGCACCGCUCGGCAGCAGAAACCUUCGGGGCGGUUCGGGGCAGGAGACGUCCCUUUGGCAAGCGGGGCAGCGCGGCUCUCCUGCCCGACGUGCCAUUCCCUUGCGCUUUGAUGUCCGCUGCCUUUGAGCCAUCUCUGCAUGUCAUUAGGGGCCCGGACAAUUAAAGAAGUGCCUUCGCACCCCCCCUCUCCCAACCCCUCCCCGCAGCGGAGGGGAAGUCGGAAAAAAAUAAAUACAUCGGCCAACACGGCGAGCCGAUGCGGGGCUGAGUUCGCCUUCGGAUCGCGGCCGUGAGAUGGGAAAGUCGCCCGCAGGGGAGCGGGAGGAGCCGCGACGGUGACAGCGACAGUGACUGCCGGUCCGGCCGCUCGCCGCCGGCUUUGGUGGCGGAUUGGGUGGGGAGUCCUUCUGCCGCCCGGGUACGCGGCUCCGUCCUCGGGGCGGUCGGAUGCCGCUCGGUCUCCCCGAAAGUCAAAUAAUAAAAAAAAAAAAAAUAGAAAUUUAAAAUAAUAAUAAUAAUUAAAAAAUCGAUCUGUGGGAAUGAAGGGCGGAAGCGGAGCUUAACGCGCUGCUCUUUCUGAGGGGCUGGUAGAGGGGAAAUGCGGCUGGGAGGGUUCGGAGGAGGCUGGGGAUGCUCGGGUGUAGAAAUAGGCUAUCUAUCUAUCUACCUGUAUCUAUUAAUAGCGAUACCAUACAAAUAACGAGUAGAGGAAGGUCGCGGAGUGCAGCCCCGCUCCCGCCGGGCUGGGGCUGCCCGUGGCCGGGAGGUGAGCCUCUCCCGGGCCGUUCCCACGCGUGUCCCCUCCCCGCACGGCGACACGAGUUCGGUGGCAGGUCAUUGGCGAGUGCUGUCCCCGAGAGCCCGUCACUGCCGGGCACCCGCUCGGUCGGAAGCAGGGACCUGGCACGGGGACGGGGACACGCGUGCACAACCCGCCCCCGGUCUCCGUGGGCCUCGAGAGACGUCUCCUUCCCGAGUCCCCGCGUGUGCGAUGCCACUCGUGUUCGUGCCCAGCGGCCGAGCCCCGGCCCCGUUAAACGCUCGUUUUCCUCUUUUUCACCGUGUUGCCAACGAGAAAAUGAGGAUGGGGUCUUUUUCCCUCCUGUUCUUGCCCACGCGGGGACGGGGCACUGCCUGUGGUACCGGCAGCGGCGCUUCCCCGUGACACGGACACGGGAGAAAUGCCGCUCGGAGAGAGGAACGAAAAAGCGCCGCGGAGCCGGGGAGGACAACGGAAUAACGCGCAAAAAGAGGGGGGAAACAAAAAAAGGAAAGGAAAACAAACAAACAAACAACAACAAAAUAAAGGAAAGAAAAGCAGGAAGAAGCGCGCGGCUCCUGGGGCAGCGGCGAGGCGCGGCGAGUCGGCUACCGCGCAGCCCCGUUCCUUCUCCGACGGCCCCACAACGACUCGAGCCCUCGGCAACGAGCUGUGGGGCUGCGGCCAGCCGC